This 1178-nucleotide long non-coding RNA is filed under the name Ursus maritimus (polar bear). Its description in RNAcentral is "lncRNA (ENSUMAG00000018843.1)". Lineage: Eukaryota; Metazoa; Chordata; Mammalia; Carnivora; Ursidae. The record is from RNAcentral.
GUUCCUAUUUGAAAGAUAAUAUUUUAAUGGUUCAUUGAGCUUAAGAAUUUUUUGACAUUGAAGGAAAUAUAUUGAUUUUUCACUCAACUUUAAGAUUUCAGAGAUGGUAGGAGAGCUAUUUGAGGCAUAAAAAUGUAUGACUAUGUACAGAUGGAAUGGCCUUGAGGUUCUUGUAUGUACGACUUCAGACUCUAUGUAUGAUCUUGGAGGAACCUUUCUUGUUACUGGUCUAUUUUUCCAUAUAAGAUAGAGGCAAGGACAUAUGUAAAGAGAACAUGGCCCGGAGACAUGGAGUACAUGUGUGCAGUACAACAGUACUCUGACAUUAUCAGAAGACCGAGAAGCUACCAGGCCAUGUGACAUCAGAACACCAUGAAUUUGGCCAGUGAAAAUGGAAGCUAUGUAAUUGGUGAAUUCCAAAUUCCAGGCAAGCAAGCUGAUUGGCCAAGCUACAGUGGAAUGUGAUCAGUACUGUAAAAGCAGAGUUCUGGGGAAAAGCCCAGGUGUGCCUAGGAGUCACUGCGCCUCUUCUCUUGGCAUCUACCCUUUCUGUUCCUGGUGAUGAACUGGCAAGAGGAGCAAGACAUCCCAGCACUCUGUCACACAUAAAGGAUAACAUUGGGAUUUCUGGAUUCAAGAGUGAAGAAAUUUAUAUCAGAGGAUCACACAGGUUCCAGUUUAAGAGCCAACUGGACGGAAGACUUUGCUGCCUAGAGAGGUGUCAUGGUGCUUGUAAAGCAGGCACAGCUUCAGAAGAGCAUCUGCUGAGAAGGAGAAGGGGAGAUGAAGCAGAAAGGUCUUUACCCUGCUAGAUACCCCAUGGUCACUGUCAGAGACCUCGGCGCUGCAGUUCCUGUGUAGCUCUCCAGGUAUGAGAAAACAAGGAAACUAUUAAAAGAUGCCUGACCUGCCUAGGAGCCCCAUGUGAACAACCAGUAUCCAGUUCUUGACCCAUCUCCCCAUCUUUAGUGCUGUACCCCCUUAGAAGGGUGUGUGGGCACAGGCAGUACUUCUGCGGCUUUGGUGGUUUCUCCCUAAAACUUCUGGAGGAAAACUUUGGCUUUUAUGUUUGCUUUGCUUUUCUGAAUUUUAAGAACAGUAAGUGGAAGAAGUAAGCAAGAUAGCUAAAGAAUGCUCAUUUAAGUUGGCUUAAUUAUCUCCAUUAAACUUAAUUGCCA